UUGGUUUGAAAUGAAAUUUGAGUCUUGAGAGAGGGCUGAUAUGAAGGAGAAUCAAACAAGCCACAUGGGAGCAUCUGAAGGCCUGGAGAUAAGGGCCUGUUGCAUGGCUGUGAAAAUUUGGCCUUUAAAAUAACUAGGCAUGGGCCAGAAAUCACAGCCGGCGGCUGCGACCACCCAAGGCAGGAGAUCCAGCGGGGGACUAUGGAGCUCAGUGGAGCUGCGGCCUGGGAGAAGCCCACCCAAGAGAACCAUGUAACUAGAAACCAUCACAUUCGGCUUCGUGUGAGGGAGAAGCAGAUUGCCAAGAUGGUACAGACAGCAGAAGUGGCAAAACAACACUUAAACUCAAACCUGCCCAACUUCAAAGUCCACGCCCUUCCCUGGGCUUCAGACUGCCGUCUUUGAUGCUAUCUUUCAUUGAGAUGUUGUUUGCAUUAAAUGGGGGAUC
This 448-nucleotide long non-coding RNA is filed under the name Homo sapiens (human). Its description in RNAcentral is "HSALNT0356057". Lineage: Eukaryota; Metazoa; Chordata; Mammalia; Primates; Hominidae. The record is from RNAcentral.